GGCUACGUAGCCUCAGUUGGUUAGAGCACAUCACUCAUAAUGAUGGGGUCACAGGUUCGAAUCCCGUCGUAGCCA
This 75-nucleotide transfer RNA is filed under the name Enterobacter cloacae subsp. cloacae. RNAcentral's name for it is "tRNA-Met". It matches the Rfam family "tRNA". Rfam says of the family: Transfer RNA (tRNA) molecules are approximately 80 nucleotides in length. The record is from RNAcentral. Lineage: Bacteria; Pseudomonadati; Pseudomonadota; Gammaproteobacteria; Enterobacterales; Enterobacteriaceae.